CUAUGCGCCUUGCCAGCCCGCUCAGGUGUGCCAGCCGCCGCGGUAAUACGGAGGAUGCGAGCGUUAUCCGGAUUUAUGGGUUUAAAGGGUGCGUAGGCGGGCUGUUAAGUCAGCGGUCAAAUGUCCGGGCUCAACCCGGGCCGGCGUUGAAACUGGGGAUCUUGAGUGGGCGAGAAGUAUGCGGAAUGCGUGGUGUAGCGGUGAAAUGCAUAGAUAUCACGCAGAACUCCGAUUGCGAAGGCAGCAUACCGGCGCCCGACUGACGCUGAGGCACGAAAGCGUGGGGAUCGAACAGG
Molecule: ribosomal RNA, 296 nt
Filed under: uncultured bacterium
Lineage: Bacteria
Description: partial 16S ribosomal RNA
Rfam family: Bacterial small subunit ribosomal RNA
Source: RNAcentral